CUUCCUUUCUGAUUUCUAGAACGGCCGCUCUUCCUCCACCGUUCAAUAAGCCUGCUCCGUUUCUGGGAGGCCAUGAAUAUACGCCGUGGUGGAGAUCUCAUGGGAGUCGACAUGCUCCUUAUUGAUUCUCAGGCGACCAUGAUGCCGGCAACCCGAAGAUGGUGGGAGGUAAUCAACCCAUUAAGACUUACAAGAUCAGUGGUAUAAUGGAUUACAUUACAUAAACUCUUUUCUUCAUGCAUGUCGCCUAUUUUUGAAUGCCACUUCCGGCACACAUGUUUACUUCGGCAAAGAGACAUCAGCAGGAGAGAGUUUUUUCAACAUGCUGGUUGAAGAAGACACUGGAGUUACGCCAGCUACUCCAUUGCUAAGGGGCUAUGCAAAGGUGGAAGCACUGAGCAUAGCUGAGCUUUGUCACCACUCCCUCUCAGGAGAGUGACUGAAAUCAAGAUAGAUAAGUGGUGGUGCUACGUUUCUUGCUCAAAUUGUGGUAAGAAACUCCAACACACGGCGUCAUCUUUCACAUGUGUGCCUUGCAAUAAUACUAGCGUAGUUGGUGUGCUCCGACGAAACUGGUGAAGGGUUGUUUGUUUGCUUCGAUGGGUCAUGACGAAGCUCCAUAACAUGAGGGCCUAUGAGGCUGGCCAUCUUCUAUCCAUUCUCUGUGUUGACUACUUAUUCAUUCAGUCACAUUCAUCCAAUUUAGCGCAGGCUGGUGAUGGUGUCAACCCCGAGGAAACUGAGGCCCCUCCUUUUGUUAAAGACAUGGAGGGAAAGACAUACAAGUUACAGGUGAGAGUGAGUUCAUACAAUUUCACAGCGAAUCAUCAGACCUUCACUAUCUCCCACAUACUCAGCGAGGGUGCCACCUCCUGAAUUCGUUGACAACGGGGGUGACAGUGGAGAUAACAACCACGGUGGCAACUCAGUGCCUGUUAAGGUGGAAGCUGCUGGUAGUACCAAUGUUGAUGGAGCUACUGGGAAGGUGAAGAAGGCACGCAAGGCCUAGAUGAAGCCGGUUGAUGUUGAGGAUGCUGUUUUCCAGCUUUUUAAAUGAAUAAGCUGUUUUGUUUGGUUGUCUUUUUUUUUCUGUUUUUUUGGUCUUCAUGAACAAUUUUGUGUGUUUUGAUUUUUGCUUUUCCAAACUUCUAAUUUGAGUUAUUGCUUAUCAGUUAUAAAAUCUAUUCCAUCUCAGAAACUUUUCGCAUUAAGUUAUAUACUUUCAAAAUUAGCAACAAUAUAUAUUUAAAAUCUACGUAGAGAAUCUGCAUGCUAAAAAGAAUUGAAGGUGCAGACGUUCUUGGAAAUGAUAAUCUGAUCAUAGCAAUCAACCCAGCCCGAAGAUCCGUUAGCUCGCACGUCUUUGUUUCUGCUUUUAUUUUACAGUUUCUGCUUUUGUUGAACUAUGAUUGUUCCCAAUUCCUUUAAUUAACUAUGAACUGAUCUUGAAUUGAAUGUCUAGAAAAAAAAACUAAGUUCAUACACAGUCAGCAUUGGUUAUACGUACUGUCAUUUCUUGCAAUGCAAGUUAAAAUCAUAACGUGGAAUACCGCAACACACGUCCUCACCGAACAGCAUGAGCCCAUGCAUCACUGUCAUAAUAUAUAAACAUCAAGUUCCACAAACCAGACAUCUAAUCUCUGACCAUACUAUACAAGUUACUCCUAAGUCUCGAGACAAACAUCAAAUACACAAAUAAUAAGAACACUUAAACACACGAACAACAAAACUAAACAAAAAUAUAAAAUAUAACAAAAAUAUAACAACACAACUCAACCAAUACUCAAAUUAUUAAAAAGAUAACAUUUUUCUCAUGUUAAUACUUCGCCAUCUCAAGAUUCUAAGAAAAAAAAGUAACUCUAAAGCAGUUUCUAAUAAUGCAAACACAAGGCUACGAGUAGUUAAAUUUUGUUCAAUGUGUGGAAUAUUAAACUAAAUCAUGUUCAUUGUUCAUACCAAAUCUAAUAAGUAGUCAAAUGACAGCUGAAACAUUUAAGAAACUAUAAAAAAGUUAUGAAAAUAAAUAAAUUUAAUGGAAACACUACUUAAUGAAAGUUGAUGUUAAUUCAAUUUAGACAAAAAAAUAAAACGAAAAACUAUUUUCAUUAAUAAAAACUAUAAUAAAAAGAGUAAAUAAUAUUUAAAAUAAUAAAAUGUUACAAAUAUAUUUAAUAAUAAAUAAAAUAAAUUAUAUUUCAGAAAUAUAAAUAUAUAUCAAAUUAGACUAAAUAAUAUAAUAUCCCGCGAAAGAAAUCUGAGCUGAGUUUAUACUAUAAGCAACUUUGGGAAGCAAAAACACGAGAGCUCAAAAUAAACCUAUAUUUAAAUUUCUUAAUAUGUUUUAAUCAGUCAUAAUUAAACUACAACCAAUAUUUUUGAAAAAUAUACAAAAUAUAUAAAUAAACCUUUGAAUCUAUGUAGUAAAGUGUAUGUUAGAAUAUCUUAUAAAAAUUUUAGGCCUUCAUCACCAUUAGCAACUAUAUAUAGAAAAACAACACCAAACUUCAAUACAUUUUGUUAUGUAUAAACUGCGUAAAAAUGUAAAAGAAAUUAUAUAGAAAAUGAUUUUGAAACAAUCAAAAUAUGAAUUAAUAAUUUAGAACGGUUUUGGUUUGUACUGAGUUUUUUUUUGUAAAAAAUAAUAUAGAUUGCUUUCGUAUGCUAUAGCCUAUAGGGUUACGUGGAUUUUGGUUUGGACUAAAGUCAAAGAGAAACCAAAAGUAUAUUCAAAAACAAAAGUAUAAAAGUGAGAAAUAUAUAACCAAAUAUAACCAAAAUAAUAUCACACAAAAGAAACAUAGAAAGGCAAAAAAAAAAACAACGGUUAAUAAUAUCAGUUACUAACAUUCUCCAAAAAACUAUAAUAACUUUGAUAAAGAAUUUCUCUAAAUAAAAACUCCAUUCCCCGCUAUUUUAUAAACCCUCACAAAAGGGGUAUUAGAAAACUCGAUCUUAUUCUCUUUUGAUCGAAUCCAAUUGAUUUUUGUAUUUUAUAGUUAUAUAAAAUUUAAAACACAAUAAAAGUUACAAUUCGGGAUUAACACAACAAUAAUACUAAGAAAUUGAUCAUUUUUAAUUAUAUAAUUGAAAUUUGGUGUAGGCAACAUAAUCGUACUCACAUCCAACUUAACAUAAAAUAAAUUUACACAAAAUUAUAUUUUUUUAUAAAAACCAAUCCAUCAAAAAAUAAAAAUAAAGAAUUUUAGUUAGACAUAUGCGAAAAAUGACAUAAAAAUGUGUUCUCAGUAUAAAAAACAUAACAAGAAAGAAAGAAAGAUAAUAAUUAAAAUAGUAUAAUGUCAUAAAAUAUAUUUGACAACAAAUAAAAA
This is a long non-coding RNA of Brassica rapa (field mustard), 3329 nucleotides long. RefSeq lists it as uncharacterized. The record is from RefSeq and is a predicted model, not a curated record. NCBI's taxonomy places the organism in Eukaryota, Viridiplantae, Streptophyta, Magnoliopsida, Brassicales, Brassicaceae.